This 84-nucleotide transfer RNA is filed under the name Acidimicrobiia bacterium. RNAcentral describes it as "tRNA-Leu". It matches the Rfam family "tRNA". Rfam says of the family: Transfer RNA (tRNA) molecules are approximately 80 nucleotides in length. Lineage: Bacteria; Bacillati; Actinomycetota; Acidimicrobiia. The record is from RNAcentral.
GCGGACGUGGCGGAAUUGGUAGACGCGCCAGGUUUAGGUCCUGGUGGGCGAAAGCCCGUGGGGGUUCAAGUCCCUUCGUCCGCA